Molecule: long non-coding RNA, 1870 nt
Organism: Sebastes umbrosus (honeycomb rockfish)
Lineage: Eukaryota; Metazoa; Chordata; Actinopteri; Perciformes; Sebastidae
Exons: 4
Source: RefSeq, a predicted model, not a curated record
AUCGCCAUGGUUACGUUAGCUAACGUCAACGUUCUUGCUAAACAUAAUAUUUUAACGUCGAUGUCUGCGCUGUUUUUCACCUAAUGUAUUGACUUUUUGUUUAGAUUAUGUCAGCUGGUUAGCUAAACUAGCAAACAAAGUAUAAAAAAUAACAGUUACAUUAUGUUUUAAAUCCACUUAAUUAGCUAGCUAGCUAUGAUUGCUAAUGCUACCAUAGUGUGCUCAGCAUUAGCUAGCUGCUGUAAUUAGCCUGCUGAUUGGUGCUAAUCUGGAUUCACGGAAUGAAAUUAGCACCUGUCACCUGCCAGAUAACAGGGCAAAUGCUGGCUGAGGCAGGUAAAAACUUCAGGUCACCUUCCACCAUGGCAGACAGGUCACCUCCUGCUUAUCUCCUGAGAUGUAGAUGACCCUGGAGAAGCUUGGAGGAGCCUCCGGACUUUCUGCUGGACUCUCACACUCCUCCUCCUCAUCAUCAACAACAGUAUCCUGAGAAACACAACGGAUAUUAAAAACCGCUCUCACGUCUUCUGGUGGCACGAGUUGCUGGGACAGAGGCAGCUGGUAGAGGUACAGAGCCAGCAGGUGUCCUCCGCUGAAGAUGGCCAUCAUCACACACAGGGAGCUGAAGAUGAGCAGGCUGAUGGAGCGGCCAAACACCCACCACCACACCAGCCCGAGAAACACCCCAAAAUACAAACUUGAGACACAAAUGACUGAAAGUUGGGAAAGAACAUAACCUCACCUUUCAUGGUGGCGAGGCUGGGGUUCGGCAGCAGCGGCAAGGUGAGCAAAAACAGGAAAUACACCACAGAAAGGCCAUUGUAGCGGAACGAAGACACUGAGGUGCAGAAGAAAGAGCACACAUAACUCCAUCUGUUUGAUUGAAAUGGUCUGAAGUAAUUCACUUAUCCUUUUAUAAUCUGUUCUUUAUAUCACAAACAGGUCACAUUAACAACCAAAGAAACUCUAAAAGAAAACUAAGAAGAAAAUGACCUGUGUAGGUGUAACCUGCAUCUUGCCUUAUUUUGAAUUCUAAAAUGAAAUUAACACAGUUCAUCUAAACCAACACGCCCUGUGUCUCCACAUUAACACUGAUAAAAAACAUGGAAUAGAGAAACCUGUGCUCAGAGUGAUAUUUCAGCAGUGGUGGAAGAAAUAAAAGUAGCAAUACUACAGUGUAGAAAUACUCUGUCACAAGUAAAGUAAAAGUACAAAAAUAUCAGCAUCAAAAUAUACUUAAAGUACCAAAAGUAAGAGUACUCAAUAUGCAGAAUGGCCUAUUUCAGAAUAAUACAUAUAAAUUGUUUUAUUGGAUUAUAGGUAUUGAUGCAUUCAUGUGUUCAUCUCUCUUAUGUUGCAGCUGGUAAAGGUGGAGCUCAUUUUAAUUACUCUGUAUAUACAGCUGGGUAGAUCGUGAAUUCACCCUCGGGGAUCAAUAAAGUCUUAUCUUAACAUAUAUCAUAACACAUAAUAAUAAUAAUACAUAAUACAUCAUAAUUUAUUAAAUAUUUACCUCUGAAAUGUAGCGAAGUAGAAGUAUAAAGUAGCAGAAAAGUACAUCAAAAUUGUAGUAGAUUUCAGUAGAACCACUGGAUUUCAGAUUGUUUUUAGUUGGCAUAAUGAAAUUAAAGGCUAUGUCAGUCCUCUGUAGUGACUCUUUGUCUUUUAAUGAAUUUUAAUGUAAGACGUGGAUAUAAGAAACUCAUUAGUGUAGUAAAUUUACUACAUAUCCCUAUUUUUCAUGUAAAUAUAGCUAGAUAAAGUAUGUUUUUUUCACACUAUCGCAUUGUAGAUGUCAUGUACAUUAACAAUUUCCUGAAAUUCAGCCUGUAUUUGGUAAUUUUUAAGAACGUCAGCGUCUCAACUAGAG